Molecule: ribosomal RNA, 572 nt
Filed under: Bacillus safensis
Lineage: Bacteria; Bacillati; Bacillota; Bacilli; Caryophanales; Bacillaceae
Description: bacterial SSU rRNA
Rfam family: Bacterial small subunit ribosomal RNA
Source: RNAcentral
GAAGGGAGCUUGCUCCCGGAUGUUAGCGGCGGACGGGUGAGUAACACGUGGGUAACCUGCCUGUAAGACUGGGAUAACUCCGGGAAACCGGAGCUAAUACCGGAUAGUUCCUUGAACCGCAUGGUUCAAGGAUGAAAGACGGUUUCGGCUGUCACUUACAGAUGGACCCGCGGCGCAUUAGCUAGUUGGUGGGGUAAUGGCUCACCAAGGCGACGAUGCGUAGCCGACCUGAGAGGGUGAUCGGCCACACUGGGACUGAGACACGGCCCAGACUCCUACGGGAGGCAGCAGUAGGGAAUCUUCCGCAAUGGACGAAAGUCUGACGGAGCAACGCCGCGUGAGUGAUGAAGGUUUUCGGAUCGUAAAGCUCUGUUGUUAGGGAAGAACAAGUGCGAGAGUAACUGCUCGCACCUUGACGGUACCUAACCAGAAAGCCACGGCUAACUACGUGCCAGCAGCCGCGGUAAUACGUAGGUGGCAAGCGUUGUCCGGAAUUAUUGGGCGUAAAGGGCUCGCAGGCGGUUUCUUAAGUCUGAUGUGAAAGCCCCCGGCUCAACCGGGGAGGGUCAUUG